Meriones unguiculatus (Mongolian gerbil) is the source of this 632-nucleotide long non-coding RNA. RefSeq lists it as uncharacterized. The record is from RefSeq and is a predicted model, not a curated record. The transcript is spliced from 3 exons. NCBI's taxonomy places the organism in Eukaryota, Metazoa, Chordata, Mammalia, Rodentia, Muridae.
GGCCAGGCUGGCUGAGACCUGCCCGGCUUGGCGCCAGAGCCCCCUGCCCGCCCCUCCAUCUUUUUACAAGAGAAGCUUGCAAAGGGUUGGGACAGCAAUUGUGAAACCAGCAAAGCGACCUUUGCAUGGGGCUCCUUCAUCUCCUCUUCAGGAAGUCCUCCUUCGACUCUGUCCUGCCUCACAGGUCCCUGCAAAUCUCUGGACCUGCGUGCCAGCCCCGCACACCCUGGGAUGUCCACCUACUGUCAAGGUCCUACAAAACAGCCAGAAGAACCCUGUGGAGACGGGAGUCAGCUCAGGCCACUGUUCUGUUCAGAAUGCGCCCACGGCUCCAUCUCGCUGAAAGUAAAAGCCAUCGUUCUCUCUGUGGUUUGUUAGGUCCUAGAUCCUAGGACCUUUCCCUCCCUGACCCCAUCUGUCGCUCCUUCUCCCUCUCAAGCAGUGUUUUUGCCACUCCGUUGCCGUGCUGUUCCAUCAACCCCGGGACCUUUACACUUCCUGGCCCCUCUGCCUGUCACGGAAUGGCUUCCUCCUUGCUUGCCUCUAAUCUCUCCUGUGACUUGCCUCAUUAGGGAGCUUUGAUACCAGCUCUCAUUCUCCAGACUGCCCCAUGUUUCCCAACUCCGUCACCU